Molecule: ribosomal RNA, 487 nt
Filed under: uncultured bacterium
Lineage: Bacteria
Description: partial 16S ribosomal RNA
Rfam family: Bacterial small subunit ribosomal RNA
Source: RNAcentral
ACUCAAAUGAAUUGACGGGGACCCGCACAAGCGGUGGAGCAUGUGGUUCAAUUCGAAACAAAGCGAAAAACCUUACCAGGAUUUGACAUCCUAGCUGCACGGUCUGAGAAAUCAGAUUUUCUUCGAGAGUGCUAGGACAGGUGCUGCAUGGCUGUCGUCAGCUUGUACCGUGAGGCGCACCCUUAAGUGGGUCAACAAGCGCAACCCCCAUCCUGUGUUAAAUAUUCACAGGAAACUGCCCGCUAAAAGCGUGGAGGAAGGCGGGGAUGACGUCAAGUCAGCACGGCCCUUAUGUCCUGGGCUACACACAUCCUACAAUGGGUGUUUUACAAAGAGUUGCAAUGCGGUAACGCAAAGCUAAUCUCCCAAAAGCACCCCCAGUUCGGAUUGAGGGCUGCAAUUUGCCCUCAUGAAGCUGAAAUCGCUAGUAAUCGCAGAUCAGCAGGCUGCGGUGAAUACGUUCUCGGGUCUUGUACACACCGCCCGU